GCGGUUGUAGUUUAAUGGUAAAACCUCUGCCUUCCAAGCAGGUGUUCGGAGUUCGAUUCUCCGCAGCCGCACCA
Molecule: transfer RNA, 74 nt
Filed under: Opitutaceae bacterium
Lineage: Bacteria; Pseudomonadati; Verrucomicrobiota; Opitutia; Opitutales; Opitutaceae
Also listed under: 2 other names
Description: tRNA-Gly
Rfam family: tRNA
About the family: Transfer RNA (tRNA) molecules are approximately 80 nucleotides in length. Their secondary structure includes four short double-helical elements and three loops (D, anti-codon, and T loops). Further hydrogen bonds mediate the characteristic L-shaped molecular structure. tRNAs have two regions of fundamental functional importance: the anti-codon, which is responsible for specific mRNA codon recognition, and the 3' end, to which the tRNAs corresponding amino acid is attached (by aminoacyl-tRNA synthetases). tRNAs cope with the degeneracy of the genetic code in two manners: having more than one tRNA (with a specific anti-codon) for a particular amino acid; and 'wobble' base-pairing, i.e. permitting non-standard base-pairing at the 3rd anti-codon position.
Source: RNAcentral